This 497-nucleotide ribosomal RNA is filed under the name uncultured bacterium. RNAcentral describes it as "partial 16S ribosomal RNA". It matches the Rfam family "Bacterial small subunit ribosomal RNA", at positions 36 to 507 of the family's 1533-position model. The record is from RNAcentral.
UCUUCCCUCUGUCUUCGUGCCUAAUACAUGCAAGUCGAGCGAACGGACGAGAAGCUUGCUUCUCUGAUGUUAGCGGCGGACGGGUGAGUAACACGUGGAUAACCUACCUAUAAGACUGGGAUAACUUCGGGAAACCGGAGCUAAUACCGGAUGAUAUUUUGAACCGCAUGGUUCAAAAGUGAAAGACGGUCUUGCUGUCACUUAUAGAUGGAUCCGCGCUGCAUUAGCUAGUUGGUAAGGUAACGGCUUACCAAGGCAACGAUGCAUAGCCGACCUGAGAGGGUGAUCGGCCACACUGGAACUGAGACACGGUCCAGACUCCUACGGGAGGCAGCAGUAGGGAAUCUUCCGCAAUGGGCGAAAGCCUGACGGAGCAACGCCGCGUGAGUGAUGAAGGUCUUCGGAUCGUAAAACUCUGUUAUUAGGGAAGAACAUAUGUGUAAGUAACUGUGCACAUCUUGACGGUACCUAAUCAGAAAGCCACGGCUAACUACGUG